CUUUUGGAGAAAAUAAGCGUCCGUGACAGAUGUCGUCUCCUCUUGAUGGCGUCUUAUCUCUUGGCAAGUGUUCACUGGCGAUGUAGAUAUACACGUAUAUAUACUAUACAUAUGAAUUAAGAUAGCGCGAGGUAACUGCAGAUUUGUUUCAACUGUGUUUUUUCUUUUCUGCUGAAAGUGCUCGCUCUAUUGUUGUUUCCCUUCUCUUCUGAGCACUAUCGGCGACUUAUGGCGUCAUCUUGGCAUUUGAAUGUUCAAUCCCGAUGGCACGUUUCAAAGGGAGGGCACAAAGCAUAUCUCUCCCGACCGGCGGCAGCCAUCGAGGAGGAGGAGCUUUCCCCCAACUGGACAUAAUCGAUAUCUUACGGCUAGAAUCGAUUUCUUGUCGGUUGGUAAAAUGGUAAUUGUUUUUGUUUUCCAAGUCGAGUUGGAAAUGAAUCCGAAAUCAAAGCCAAAGAAUCAGAGAUCGGAUUGGAAGUUCAAUGGGAAAAGAAAAUUCAGACUAUGCGGCGUGCAUGCUGUGCAUAACUUGGAAUUCGAUGGUUUGCAGAUGGCUGAAGAAAAAUACGAUUAGUGUCCACACUCAGGUAUGAUUAAUUGAUUACAGAGAAAAUUUGUUGAUUGAAUUCAUCAAUUUCAAACUCAAAAUUGGUGCUGUCACUAAUAUUCCGUAAAAGCCGCUUUUCCGUCAUCUAGCGGUGGCAUGUUCAACUUCGUAGCCAGUUUAUGUUUAGUGUUUAUGUUUGAAAUCCUUGGAAUAACCUAAUUGAAAAAAUUUAUGAACAAAUUAACAAUGAACAUCAUCGGUCCACAGCUAGUGCAAAACAUCCAAUGUAUCAACACGUUUGAAAUUCAGCGUACUAUUAUCAUCAUCAGCC
Daphnia pulicaria is the source of this 878-nucleotide long non-coding RNA. RefSeq lists it as uncharacterized. NCBI's taxonomy places the organism in Eukaryota, Metazoa, Arthropoda, Branchiopoda, Diplostraca, Daphniidae. The transcript has 3 exons. The record is from RefSeq and is a predicted model, not a curated record.